CAUUGGGAGAGGUAGUUUCAACCAUUGUUUCAUAGUCUUUUUGCUUAUGUGGCUAUCUUGAAAACAUCAAUAUGAAACUCUCUAUCGGGAUUGGCCUAAAACCGAUAAAAUUAGAUCAGGCAGCGCAGAAUAUUCUAAUCAAACAAAGUAAAUUGCCUGUGCUGUAGCUGAAGCUGACGAGGAAUAAUUAUUCAAGCGGAUAUGUGUAGUAACACGGCGAUGCAACUUUAAUACAAAUAAAUUUGGUUGGCAUUGGGAAUCAAUGCGGCCGGUCAUUAGUAGGGUAUCUAUAAAACAUAUAUAGUUGAUCCCCACUAAACAUCAUUAACUUUGAUUUUCUUGCAACCACAUAAAGCCACAUCAUCACUUUUGUAUCAACCGUUAGAUCUUCCGUAGAUAUCUAGAUCCUGGCCGUACAUUGUGUCGCCACAUCACCCACAUUUAAUUAAUCAUGAAAUGCUCUCUCUCCCCACUACUGAGUCUGUUCCCAUUCCUACUCCUUGCAAUUAAUCUUUACUCAGCACCUUGGUAGAUCAAGAGCCUCCCCUCUUCUUUAUUUAGCACCUUGACAGAUCAAGAGACCACCACAGCUAAUGGCAGCAUUAGUCCUCCAUCAAUCAUCCACGUUCCCACUCCUUCGUGCCUUGACGUGCUCCUACCUACCAACAAUUAAAGGGGCACAAAAAUUCUCUCCUUCCCACUCACGUCAUUUAGGUGCCUUUCAUGGAGAACGAAUCAAAUAGUCAGCCACCACGUCUCUCCAUCUUCUCAUCCAUUCCAAUUUUAAUCAUAAUAGUGUAUAAUUACCGAUGUUCUGUUCUCCUAGCACAUGCGUCUAAGAUCAACCUCUGGACCCUUUCACUAUUCUCCAAUUCUCCAAUGGACUUGAUGAUGGAAUUCAUGUAUGCUCACUUGGUAGAUUCAGCAAGCGCGCAGGAGCACCAAGUUUCCUGCCAUGGCCACAUCACAACGUACUUGAUCUACUGCAUUGAGCUACAUGAAAAAAUCAUUGUUUGUCUGGAAUUCAUAUUUUCUGAAUCGGCAAGUUGUAUCUCUAGAGCACGAGAACUAGCUCUCCUUUUCUAGACCAUGCUGAAGAACCAGAAGAAGGUAGCAUUACAUAAAGUUAGGAAUUUCAAAUGCUAGCAUUUAAUGGGCCUUUUACUUAUUUUUUCUUUACAUCCAGUGACUAGUUUAUUAGCAUGUCUCUCUACAGUGAACAACUUUAAGGUUCCACCUGAAUUCUAUUUAUUUUGUCACUAAUAAUUUUCUUUCUAUGUUCCACAUAUAUAUUAGUAAAUAGAUCCA
Molecule: long non-coding RNA, 1308 nt
Organism: Panicum virgatum (switchgrass)
Lineage: Eukaryota; Viridiplantae; Streptophyta; Magnoliopsida; Poales; Poaceae
Exons: 2
Source: RefSeq, a predicted model, not a curated record